GAAAAUACCAUCUUUUGAAAAUUUAAACCAAACUUGAGAUUUUUCUUGUGCUAUAUUCCCAGUCAGUAACAGGAGGUUUAGGUUUCCUGAUUCUGUUUUCUGAAUGGUUUUUGUAAGCUUUAGAAUCUAUUAGUAAUGUUUAAAACUACAUCUUAUUACCAUUUCUGUUUUGCUCUGUGCAUCUUGUUUUUCCGCAGCAGAACGUAGCUACAGUGAAAGAAAUUAAAGCAAGACCUUGUGUGAAGUUCCAGAAAGCUCAUAGUUUUCCCCUUUUAUCCUCAUAUUUUGUUUCUCUGGUCUUGUGAGGCAGAUAUUUGUCUACAACUACAAGCAUAAGCUGAACCUUAAGCUAACAAAGAUAAGAAUUUGUAUUGAGAAGGCAAAAUUUCUUACAUUAGUUUUUCUGGAGGAAAAAGUAAAAGACAUAGUGACAGGAACAAUUAAAACAGUGAGAAUCUCACUUCAUAGGGAGAAAUAUCCGUAGGAGUAUGAAAACAAACUAAUUAAGUUGCGAUAAACACAUUAUAUUUUUACGGUAAUGAAAAUAUUUUUAUUUAUGAACAUUAGAAAAAAUACUUCAGAAUAUAGCAUGGCUAUUUUCUUAAUUGAAUUUUGCAUGCUUUAUUUCAGCUGCAGUUAAUAUUAAGAUCUGAUUAGGACUUGGCAAUGAACAAUUUAAAGUUUUUGUAUAGUUUUGUUUCUUCAGUGGAAGUUAUUUUUGUUUAAAUUAAGGAAAAAUCUAAGAUUAUACACAUAAAUGAUGAUUGCAAAGACCACCAUGAUAUUUCAUGCUGUAGGUUGCACUGGAGGUUGGUGUUUGCCCCUCCUUUUUCUUGUGCCAUAAUUUAGUAAGAUUUCUAGUAUGGAAAAUUAUUCCUAUGAUUGUAUUAAAAUGAGUUAAACGGAGCCAAUUGUCUUUGGUACCAUAAUGGUAAACGCAUGUUUUUUUUUAACUGAAGUGAAACCUGGGGAAACAGCAAAAUAAAUGAAAGCAGGACACCAGAUGUGGAAAACCAGACAUACUGGUUACCACCUGCUUUGGUAAGCCCUUGGACUGUCUGGUAAGCCCUUGACUGGGAACUGUGAAGGAGCAGCAUGAAGAACCAGAAACUUUGGAAGCCACCAUCUGAGAGAGGAUGUGUCUGGUUUUAGAACCCCCAGCUGACCUCGGGCACCUGAUGCUGACCUCCCACACUGUGCUUCCCAGCACUCCAAGGGCUCUGAGCACUGAUCUGCAGAGUUCCUGGGAUCUGCUCUGGCUCUGCCACUAAAUUGGACACAGACAAUGUUAAGUAGUCCUUUUAAUCAAAUAACAGUUUUGAGAAUGAUGUUAUGCUACAUGAGAGGUCAUAUAUUAACCUUUCCUGUAGAAUAAAACAAGCCAUUAUCAUUUUUAUGUGCAGCUCUUUGCAUUUUAUGCAUUUUGUAUAACAACUGUCUAGGGUAAGGUUUUCAAAGCCAUUUAGGGGACAUGAAUUUUAUGAGUGUCGUUCUUGUCCUGAGUAACCGAUCAAGGCUGGGAGAUUCCUUUUGGGUGCUGUAGGUUUUGUGACGUGCAGAAUGAACAGUGCUUUGGUGAUUGCCAGUGAUUUGACUUCCUGGGUGCAGAUGUUGGGUUCUGGAGGUUUAUUUGAAUUAUUUGAUUUUUGUCUCUGCCAGUCUUCUUACUGUUUGCUUUGUACUCGCUUGUAGUUAAUAUAAUAUUACCAUUUUUAGGUGGUCUCACUCUUCACAACCACUGGCGUAGAAAUUCAUGCCCAAGAUACCCCUGCAGCAAUAUUUAAAUCCUGUUCUUCAUUAUGGGUAUGAUAUGAUAUCAUUAAUCCUUGGCACUGUCCCAGAAUGAAUUUGGUAGGCAACAAUUCCUGCAAGUAGAAGAUUGCUAGAGACUUCAAUGAGCAGAAGCAGUUGCAAUGAACCCAUCUCUGAAAAGGCAGGAGGUUUACAUUUCUACUGCGGACACAUUCAGACUGAAGCUGUGACUGAAGAAGAUAAAGCAGCCCUAAGACUGAUGCAUCUAGGUCACUGCUCCUGCUAUCUGCCAGUGCUUUUCUAGCCCCAGAAGAGAACAACCUGCCCAGGAAAUCAAGCAGCAAUGCUUGGAAGGGACUCCUCUCCAGUGGAUGCAUACCAACAUGAUGGAAUUGUGAAAUGACAUGUAUAAUUACGAUAGGAAGAGAUGAACUUUCAUGACGCUUCCUUUACAGAUCAAUAAGCCUCUGGGUUAAUUGCAGAAUUUCUUGCUGUUAAGUCCAGAACACCUGCUGUAAAACAAGAGGAUUUCCAGAGUAUCCUGAGGAAAACCUGCACAGGACCUUCAGGACUACAGAAAAUGUGACUCUUUGACUGUUCCCUGGUCAGAGAUGGCUUAGAGUGCCUUACCUCCUCCACCACCCAGCUCUGCCAGAAGAUUUGAAGCACCUUGCAAGCAUGACACCUUCCAGGAGGUACAAGGGACCACAUGACUGAAGAGAGCCGGGAGCUUUGGCGGUCGAUACACUGGGAUCUUGAUUUGUGAAGUUCCUUGAUGCCACAGACAACUAACUUCGCUCAUAUAUGUGUAUAUUACUCCAUCUUGAGAAGAGUUCUAAAUUUGCAGCCAAGAUUUGGAAUAGUUGGAUGAAGCUAAUUUUUAUAACUAUGUGGAAGUUUUUCAGAGUUUUUAGGACGGUAAAGACUGUGGACUAUUUCUCCUGUGCAACGUAUUUUCCCUCAAAGUUCACCUAGACUGACAGACCAAAUUUAGUUCUGAAUUAUGGAAUCACAGAAUCAUAGGGGUUGGAAGGGACCUCUAGAGAUCAUCAACUAAACACUGUCUAAAUUCUGCUAGGCUUCAUAUGUUUCUUUUAAACUUUUCCACAGCAGAAACCGAACCUACCACAGUGUAUUUUUUGAGUUUGACCUAUAUAAUUCCUCUAACGACUUCUCCAGUGGUAAGUGUGGAGUGAAUGACCUUACAAAGCUAAGAGACUGUGCUUGUCGAGUAUGUUCUUCAUUUUAGAGCUGUGUCACGUUGCAGGUCACUGAAUCCUCAGAGACUCACUAGUCUCUGAGAAUGUGAGAAUGGAAAAUGGGGCCAUAUAUAGGAAGGUUAUCGCAAUGUCGCUACUACAGGAAAGCAAGAAUCUUCUAAACAAAGAGUGAACUAAACACUGUCAGACUCAGCAGAGACAUUUGUAAAGCUGAAAAUUCUACUUGCUGCAGAGUUUAUUUCUUUCUCAAAGCAGGUGCAAAUAGCUGUAGCACCAAAGGAAUCCCAGACUCUCUUCCACUCUGCUAUACAGCCCACACUUUCAUAGGAUGAUUUGAAAGGGAAUCUUGGUAUUUUCUGUCCAAAUUUGGACGUGGAGUAGCAAGCCUGGUCUGACUCUAACUGCAAGAUAAGCUAAAUGAUUUUUUUUUUUUGGAAGGUUGUUGGUUUAGCUCUGGGCUGGAGACUCUUCAUCCUUAUACAUAUGACUUUCAGAGGACACAGAAGCCCAGCCUCAGCUAGCAAGGUUUCCAGGGUUACCCAUUCCUCAGUUAACUUUCCUGGUUUGCACCAGAGAAAUCAGUAAUAAAAGACAUGGGUAAUAAAUACCAGUUCAGUCUCACAGACUCUCCGUUUUCCAGUGAAGACCACCAGAAAAUGUCAGUGUUACAGUCAACAGCCAAGGGCUCACCUGAUUAUGGGUGUGAGGACUUUUUGUGCUACUGUGGUUAACAUGGCAGAAAAUUCUAACAUAAAUGAGUCAGCUUGCCCAAGGCAAAGGCUUUUUUUUCCACCAAAAUUUUCCCACCAUGUGGCAGAUGCUAUCCUGUUCUUUGGACAGCCUUUAACUGAACAUCUCCCAGUGCUUCAUAGACACUAAGCCUGAAAUAUAUACUGCAGCUUUAAUUCUAUCAUGGCCGUUCAUAUUCCCAUACAGGACUCUUAGUCUGCUUUAAUUUGAGAGUUGAAAAGGGAGAUAGGCAAAGCUAGUACGAAUUUGAAAGACUUGACCAUUUCUCUGAAGUAGUUUGUUUAUAGUGCCAUCAACUGAACAGAAUGGCAUACUGUAGAAGUUGAAAGUAAUUUAUCUGAAGGCUGCUGGUAGAAAACCAUGAUAUGACAGUAAAAACCCUUAGGUAUCAUUCUUUCCUCCGCUUCAAAACAAUCCAGGAAUAAUUCUUAAACAUCUUACCAGCAUCCAAGGUAGUUUAGAGGAGUAUUGCAAGUGUGUAAAUUUCUCAGUAAAAUUUACUAUUUUAUAUAAAAUUCAUUCAAAUAUUUACUGCUUCUAAAUUACUAUCUACACUUUAUGUUUGGUCACUGAAAAAAGAUUACAUUGUAUUUACCUCUAAAUUCAUGGCUUCUGAAUGAGCUGAUGAGCUAAUGAGUCCAUUAAAAUGUGUAAUCAUACAAAUGCAUACUUGUGUGCAUUUAACGUGCUUUUGGUUUGGUUGGGGUUUGUGUGUGUUGUUUUUGUCUUUUCUUCUCGAAUGUGCCCUUAUGAACAAAACUUUAUUUAUAUGAAGGUUCCCCUCAUGUGGGUGAACACUGUUCAGGAAUGCUUUCAGACAUAGUUUGAUUUUUAUUUGAAUCAAGGUUCUAAAAACAGUUUUAUGCAAUAUUGUUAUUUCUACACCGAAGUAAGUUUCGAAGUGGAUUAACACGUGGUACCUGAGCUUUAAUACUCUUCCAUUCUCAAUUUGAAUUUAUCGGCCAUGGAGUUUCAAACUGGGGAAUAUCUUUAACCUUUUUAAUUAGUUCUUCAUUGUGGGGAACAGAACAAACUGGCAGACUACAGUCACAAUUAUCAAAAGCAAAUACAGACAGUAUUACACAUCCAGCUUCUGAUGAGAAAGGAUAAUGAGAAAUCUGAUUUGAUCCAUGACAAACCAUGGGUCAGCAAAUCAUGCCUGCUUCUUGUGUUCUAAACCAUGCCUUUUUUUCACUAAUUUUAACUUCAAUUUCUUUUUCAGAAGGGCAAACUCACGAACACUCACGCUUUCAUCAUCUGGGAAGCACUUGUAAUAGCCAUUCAAUAAUUUAAAAUUAAAAUAGCCCCCUGUUGUCUUUUCCAGGUAUAAUGCAAGACAGCUUUAUUUCCUUUUUUUCUUUUUCUUUUUCUUUUUCUUUUUCUUUUUCUUUUUCUUUUCUUUAAGAGGCUUUUUGAGACCUUAAAUGACCAACAUGUGAUCUGCCAUUAGCUUCUGCGACUGGAGUAGUGUGGCACAGGCAUCUAUGGGAAGCCUAUGGAGGAUGUUAUGAAGGCUUCAGACAUUUGUCUGAGGCAACUAAUGGAAGAAUAUAAUCAUUACAAACACCUUCAGUAGUCAACAGAGAAAGAGAGAAGCCUUCCCAGCUGUUCAGCAAAAUACUCUGCUAUGUGUCUCUUUGUUCCCUGCAUUUUGCUCCAGAGCGAUCCAGUGCCCUCACUGUUUGCUGACUGAGAAUUCUACUUUUAUUAAAAAAGUAAAUUUGCCUUGGAAUCAGCUAGUAUCCUACAGAAACCCUGCAAGGGUGCAGGCAGUAGGUGCUGAGAGCAGAUGUAGUUGCCACGUAGAGAUUAACCAGAUGAGUGUUUCAGAUGGCACUGCUGGGAUUUGUUACUGCUCUCUGAUGACCAAACACUGCGGAAACUAUUAUGAGAGUGAAAUUUGCUCUGUGCUGUGCUGCUACAAUACAACUACUGUUUCUUUUCAUCAACAUCAGAACAUGAAAAUAGAGCAAGAAUCAUGCACAAGCUGCAGCGAAGCUCAUAUUGAAGAUCUUCAUAUUUUUUGCAGCUAAUAAUGAAACAUUGUUCUUCAUACAAAUGCCUCAUUAACUCAUUAUUCUAGGCAAGGUGCAAGUUCAUAUAACUCACAAAUUAUGUUAUUUCAAUAAUAGCUGUGGAAGUUAGAAUGGAAACACUUUAAUCUUGCAGAGGCAAAUGUCAUGACAACAAUCAGUAAUGUUGUCUUCACUGUAUUAAGCCAGAAGCUGUGCUGGAAAAUGAAUAUGCUCCAUAUGCUGAUAGGCACACCCAGAGCCGCAAGCAGCAAUCUUUUUUUUAUAAAGCAGGAUUUAAGAGUGACAUUUAUACCAACCUUUUCCUUUAUAACAAAAUUUUGUUUAAAAACCUCCAAUGUAUUUUGCUUAUAAGUGAGGGCUUUUUUUUAUUCGUUCUUUUUUUUUUCUAAAUACAAAGCUGGGGACCUCUGGGCUCGGGAGUUCUAUGGCUAUUAUUUUUAUUUUACAAGUUUAUAAUCCUGCAGAAGUUCAGUUUAUGUUUCUGUAGUUCUCAUGCCAUAAUGUGCAAACACAAAAAGCAACAGUAAAGAAGAAAAUCUGAAAUAUUCUGACUUUGAUUUUACUGCAUAAGGCCCAAUCACAUUUUCCUAUCCUCACUUACACCAUUAACUUUUCUGUUAUAUUUGUUUAUAUUGCUUUUACCAAAAAAAAAAAAAAAUGUUUUUUUUGCAAUUUAUUUUCUGAGUACCAGGAUAUGCAGAUAGUUCCAGUGUUCCAUGGCUUAAACUGGACUAUGGUUUCAUUACAAAAUAAACUUUUCUCAGUUAGUUACUGUUAACAUGGCCCACCUAGGACAAAAUUUUGCUCUCCCACCAACCCAUUUCAUUCCUGAUGGAUAGAGGUCUGGAAUUCUGCAUACGCACCUGGGCACAACAAAAUCCCUCUGGAUUCUGCAAUCUUCUCUUCAAGUUGGUUGUUCUAAAGUUAAUUUGAAGCUUCAUAGCUUGUGGCAGCAAUAAAUAACAGAAAAGUAUUAGGCCGUGCAACUCUUGACUCAAGAAAAAGAGAGAAAUUUGAAGGGGAUGGGGACAGUCAACUUUGUUGACCCUGCUGCUAACAAAGAGGUGAAAUGAUGGGAAAAUGAUUGCUGUUGAUUAGAGGGGCCACCCUUAUGUCAGACUCACUCAAAAAACGUGACAGCCUGGGAGAAGUAAGUUUUCAAGACCUGUGUAGAAUCACACAGUUAUUUUCCUGCCCCAGCCAUUUGUAGCCAUUAGCAACUGCCUGUGUUACUUAUCCUAUGCUGGACUGUGUAUUUACAUGCACACAGGUAUGUAACAUUAUCUGUGUGUGUAUAUAUAUACACACAUACACACACUUAAUGGUUUUCUAGUAUAACCGAACCUCUUCUUGACAAAUAAUGGAUAUUACAAUAUAUUACUAACAGUGAAGAAUUUUCUUAGUUGCUUGUGCUUUUUUGGAGCAAAAGAGACAAGUUUCCGUGGUUAACAUGAAAUCAUGUGGACUAUGGUGCUCUCAGUUAAGAGGUUUCCUACUAUUUACUAUCAGAUCUAGCACAGCACCAAACAAAGAAUCUCUGUACCCAGUUGAAAUGUCUUUUUUAGACGCAGAAAUUUGGUCAGAAAAAGUCUACAGUGGUGACGUGCAAGAGCCAGAAACCUCACACUGCAGCUCUAGGUUCAUUCUAGUUCUAGGGAGACAUAGCCAGCCCUGAGCAAUUAAUAUCCUUUUCUCACACCCAGCUUCAGCCAGGAGGUGUCUUUCCUUCCUGGAAAAUGUUCCCAUCCAUUUUGUAACAGAUGAAGUAAGACAUCCUGGUAAGUAAAUAGGAAUUUGUAGCACUGUAUGAAUAUUCAUUUUUUCUGUCCAAACACAGCGAUUAAAACCUAACAUUUUAACCUCUGGAGAUUUCAGAAUGUGCAAAUCAGGUGCUAAAUGGCAGCUUUAGGAAACUAUUAAUACAAACCUAGUUUGCUCUGCUAGUAAAAAGCAGAGAUUUCUUAUCUCCAAUUUAAAACAUGACCCAAGUGGAUAUAUUUAUCAUUGCAAUUUUUGUCUUAAUACAUCAGUUGAUAGCAGGAGGACUGGAGCCAGAAGCAGCCACAGUCUCUGUGUGCAGUAGAAGGUGUAGAGCUGUGUGCCUGAACCUGCACCGUGCCACCUGCAACCAGCCCUGGAAUAGAAGGAAAGGUGGGUAAUACCCUAACUCUGACAGCCCUCCAUUAGAUCAUGUCCCUGAGCACCACAUCCAAACAGUUUUUAAACACAUCCAGGGAUGGUGACUUAACUACUUCCCUUGGGAACCUAUUCCAGUGCUUAACAACCCUUUCUGUAAAGAAGUUUUUCCUGAUAUCCAACCUAAACUUACCCUGGCACAACUUAAGGCCAUUUCCCCUUGUCCUGUCACCAGUGAGAAGAGACCAACCCUGCUCUCGCUGUAAGCACCAUUCAGAUACUGGAAGAGAGCAAUAACGUCUCCCCUCAGCCUCCUUUUCACCAGACUGAACAGCCCCAGCUCUUUCAGUCUCUCCUCAUAGGGCAUAUUCUCUAAGCCCUUCACAAGCCUUGUUGCCCUUCUUUGGACCUGCUCCAGCAUCUCAAUGUCCUUUCUGUACUGAGGUGCCCAAAACUGAACACAGUACUCGAGGUGAGGUGUCACCAAUGCCGAGUACAGGAGCAGGAUUACUUCCCUAGUCCUGCUCACCACACCAUUUCUCAUACAAGCCAGGAUGCCAUUGGCCUUCUUGGCCUCCUCUGGGCACACUGUUGGCUCAUAUUCAGCUGACUGUCCAUCAGUACACCAAGGUCCCUUUUCAUCAAGCAGCUUUCCAGCCACUCCUCCUCAAGCCUGUAGGGUUGCCUGGGGUCGUUGUGACCAAAAUGCAGGAUCUGAAACUUGGCCCUACUGAAACUCACACAGUUAACCUUGGUCCACUGAUCCAGUCCAUACAAGUCCCUCUGUAGUGCCUUUCUCCUCUUUGGCAGAUCAACACUCUCCCAACUUGGUGUUGUCUGCAAAUUUACUGAGGGUGCCUGUGGUAGAACUAAGCAAGGCACUACAGUACUGAAUAACUUUUAUGAGCACUUCUAGCAGGAUAAGCUAUGCUGAACUACAACAGGGAGAUGCUGAGGCUGAGCUGUCAUGACCUAGGAGUGGAUGUGGGAGCUCAUGUUUCACAGAAUGGCUCAAGCACAAGCACUGCUUUGUUCCCAGUGCUCCGUGGGGCAUGGCAUAUUUGCGCCUCUGCAUCAGAGCAGCUAUAGCCACACAACCAGGUAUGUACUAGCUUACUACCUAAGGGGAGGUUUUUUAGGAUUUGCUGCUUGUCUGAUGACUGAAAUUGCCAUCUGGAUCUCAGUGAGUGGUACUUCUAGGCAAACCUUUCUAGUGCUGGUGGGAAUCAAGCCAUAAAAACAUGAAUGCCUUCUUAAUUCUUUUUUUCAAGGUGGUGACACCCAGCUAAAACACUUGAAAGAACGAUUUAAGCAAAGUGACAAGCUAGUGGCACUUUUCUAACUAUUACUUUUAAACACUACAGGUUAAUCUCUUUGAUUGGGAAGCUUUAGGAUUCUUUUCCUAGAGAGCUCCCAAUGGCAAUCAGUAGAAAAGUGAAAACAUCUAAAUCAUCUCUUCUGAAAGCCAGUGUGAAGGAAAGGUAUGCUCUGAAGUCUGCACAUCAGGUCACAGCAUAAAAGAGAGAACAAGAUAAGUCAUAUAAGCUCUCUUUCCUGGAGAUGUCAGCCAAAAUGCCGCAUGAUCACCAACAAGCGCAAAAAUGAACAAACUUCAGGGAUCAAGUCUAAGCAAGAGAUUAGAGAAGACAUCCCCCCAGAAUGCUCCCAAACUUCCUACUCUGGUUCCUCCUGAAGAGCAGAAUUCUGCUUGGACAAACUACCUACAGACUGAAAUCCAAGUGUGUUGAUGCCCGGGCUGUCUUUUCCCCAGAAGCAGGAGCAAAAGAGAAGAAACUUUUCUUCACUUUGCAAAACGAUGUCUCUUUUGCACCACUGACUUUUUUCACUCCAUAAAUGAUUUCCAGGUACCUGUCUGGAAGAGAAGAAGAAAUACAUACCCCAGGAGGCUUUGCAUUCAGAGAAGAGAUAUAACCCCUGGCAAGGUCACCUGAUGUCCUUUUCUUCUUUUGGCUCUCCUCCCUGCUGCUUGACCCAACUGCACAUCUCACCUCAGUGUUACAGUGAGGCUUUCAGCUCUUGGACACUCCUUCUCUCAUUAUAUUUGAUUGAUUAGCUUCAAUUCUUAUUAUAUUGUAUUAUAAUGUAUUAUCUUGCAUUCUGAUACUAUAUUUAGUAAAUUAGUUUCUUUCUUCUCAGAUUGUUGCUCCUGGUCUUAAUUGUUCAGGGUCCCCUGUUUCCUUUUUUUGGAGGUCUGGAUCUGUGGAUCCCUCCACCCUGCCAGUCAUGGAACUGGGCUGAACCAGAUCGUUACUGAUCAAUCUCUAAAAAUGAAUGAAAUUUGAGGUCUGAGAAAAGAUUUUUCAUGCCACCCAAAUUGUCACCUGGUUACUUCGAUGUUGGGACAAUGGGGUCAACAGUGUGUGGCAAGAACAUAGAGAAGGUUGCCAACUGGGUGGCAUUGCUAGGGACUCAGCCAUUGGUAUUAGUACAUGCUAGAACCAGGCCUCUUCACCCUCUGAAAGAGGAUGUUGUUAGCUGUGAAAGAAAGAUACCCCUUCAAAGACGAUCUGAUGCCUGAGGGGAAAAAAAAAAAAAAAAAAAGGACUGAUAGGGAAAAAGACAUCUGUUACUUGAGAGACUAUGCUGUGGUGGAAAUGUUACGUAGCCCCAUUUUCAUUCCUGAUGAGCCAGACCAAGAGCAUGAUCCUGGGAGAGUCAGGUGUACACAAAGUAUGUGGCAUAUAUUCACAAAAACUGCACCAGAAAGGUAUGCCAGUUCGUGUGCAGCAAUGUAUGGCAGAGGGGAAAGAGGACCCCCUUAUAAACAAACUGAUUAAUAAACUCCAAGACUUUGAGUUCCAUUUCACCCCUCUAUGAGCUUGUGUUUCCGCUAUUUCAAAAGUAGCUGAAAAACUGGACAGAAUGGAAAUAUGAUAGAUGAACUGUCUACUGUGCUUAAUGCUGAAGGAUGCGUGGUGGUAUCAGAUACAUCUGAUGGGGACAAGGAUUCCCAAAACAGCCUAUUGGGCAGGCUGAUCAAAUUGGUUUCCUCCCAGCCUGGAUCAUCCAAUGUCUCAGCUAUCAAAAGAAAACAUCUUCCUGCACAUUCAAGUGACAACAGUAAGACUGUAAAACUGUUGCGUUUUGCCGUGUGGCAUUACCUACAUGACCAUGGAGAAGAUAUGAAGAAGUGGCAUAAAAAACCCCCUCCUGCACUUCAAGCUUGGGUAAAAGAAUUACAAGACAGAUCAACCGCUAAGGUGAACCUCUCCAAAGAGAUGAUUGCUUCAGUUGCUGUGGGACACAGCAAUAGCCAUAAGAACAACAGAGAUAACAAAUAGAGGGGGCCCUGCCCCCAGCCGGGGGUGGAAGGGAUAAUAGAGUGCAUUGGACUGUGUGGAUUAGAUGGCCUGGCAUGUCAGAACUACAGAAAUAUAAGGCCCUGGUGGACACUGGUGCACAGUGCACUCUAAUGCCCUUGAGUCACCGAAGGAAAGAAUCAAUUUAUAUUCAUGGGGUGACUGGGGGUUCCCAACAAUUGACUAUGUUGGAGGCUGAAAUAAGCCUCAGUGGUAAAGACUGGCACUCUUUCUCUCAUUAUAUUUGAUUGGUUAGCUUCCAUUCUAAUUAUAUUGUAUUAUAGUGUGUUAUCUUGCAUUCUGAUACUAUUAUUUAGUAAAUUAGUUUGUUUCUCCUCAGAUCAUAGCUGCUGUUCUUAAUUAUUUGGGGUCCCCUGUUUCCCCUUUCCAGAGGCACAGAUAUGCAGAUCCCUCUGCCCCACCACUCAUGGAACUGGGCUGAACCUGCCCAUAAACCAUUGACAAAGACUGACUAAAUUUUUGCCAUAGCUCAUGCAUUAUUUCUCCUGAAGUCAGUUACUUAACUCUUGGAUUUUAGGUUAUGUUCUAACCCUCCUUCCUCUGAACGCUUUAUUUAACCAUUCACAGAUGUACUGUACAUCUCUUAACCACUUCUUUUUAGUGUUGUGUGACAGUGCCCCACAACACAGCUUCUUUUGUAUUAUAAGGUAACUUACAUGUCCAUAUUUUAUAUAAAAGCAACAACACAGUAGAGAGAUCUGUAAAACAAGAAGACUUAUUUGUUCCCAGUUCACUUCUUUUUUUCAUGUUUACUUAUUAAUAUGCAGUCAUGCAUGGAAACACUCUUGUUACAUUCAAUUUCAUUGGUAUUCAGCUCUUUCAAAAAAGAGUUAUUUCAGUCUCUGGGAAAACAAACAAAAAACACCACCAACAAAAACUAGCAAAGCAAACAACCACCACCACCACCACACACACACACGCACCAAACACAAAACAAAUGAAUAAAAAAAAUAGCCUGGGCUGUAAAGCUGAGUUCCCAGCUCCUGUUUGUGCAAAUAUAAAAGUACAUAAUGAAUAUAUCUGGACACCAGUGUGGGAAGAAACUCAGCUGGAAGCUCUUUGACCUUGUAGAGGAAAAGCCAACAGAUGAAGCUGUCAAUUUGGAUAAAAUUGAAGUAAAAGUAAGGUGCACAUGUUAACAGUGGUGAUAAUUAACUACUGGACUACCUUACCAAUACAUGCGGUAGCAUCUCCUUUACUUGGUCUCUAUGAAGUUGUUAUUAUAUUGAGCAUGUGUCUGUCAAAAGAGACGGAAACACAUGAAAGACAGAUCCAUCAAGAACCAUUAAUUGUGAGCGAGCAUGUACAGUUUCCAUCACAGACCAUCUUUAAAUUGCCAAAUGUGAGAAAUAAACAGAAUAUCCUGUAAGAAGUAUUCCUCAGAACUCGCUCUCUUUCCACAGGUAUUUGUUACUCGCAACCUUAGGAGAUGUUCUGUGAUGCAUAUAAAGGUCCUUACAUUCUUAAAGAGAAUACAGAGGAAAUGAGGAAAAGGAAAUUCUAUAGCAUUCCUAAGAGAAUCACAGCAGUAAUUACUAUAAUGAUUACUUUUGGACUUGAAACACCAGGGAAAAAAAAAGUCCUUAUGUUGUAUGAAAAUUGCAAGCAGGCACACAAGAAGGAUUUAAUGAUAUAUCGACUCAUUUUGAGAUAUCGGUUUCCACAGAAAAGGCAAGUGCACUGAGAACACAAAACAGCUUUAACAUUGCAGUCAAAUGCAUUCUAAGUAUUGAAAUAUAAUCAUUGCUUUCAUUUUUCAGCCUACCAAAACUUACAGGUUUAUGUUCAUUACACCUUGGCAAAGACAGAUAAAAUAGAGACUAAGUAUUCAACUAUUCUGUGAAGAUGAAAGAGAUUGCCAAGCUGCAACAGCAUACAACUAUCAGGCAUGUUCUGAUAGCUAUUUAUUCUACCUAUACUGACUGCGAUCCAACCACUGAACUAAAAGUGGUCCAGCAGCAAUUCCUGGAAAAUCUGUUUGGACAAACGUUUAAUACAAGGUUCAGUAAGAUGAAAUUCCUACUAUGAGAAAUCAAGUAGAAAAGCUAGUCAGAAUAAAAAAUGACAAAAGAUAAAGUGCAAGAUUUAUCAAAAGUGGUCAAUCUGCACACCUUAAGAGCUAUAAUCCAUACAAGAUAAAUUGAUUCAUAAAUUGAUCUCAACUGAGAAUGCCAAAAAUUAGUAUUAAUAGAUUGAUUUCAAAGGCAAUUAAGAAAAGGUUGGAAGGAGCAUUUACAACUCCUUACCCAUGUCUCUCAUUUUUAAUACUGAAACAUUUUUGAUGCAGUGAAGGCAAGGAUCUAACAAAGAGGUGCUACAUGGAACAUGCAACAAUGGGCUGCACAGCAGGCUCCUUCAUGGAUAUUAACAUAAGGAAUGUCCUCAUGAAAAAAAAAAAAACAACAAGGGAGACUCAUUGGCUUGUUCUGCUAUAAGCACUGAAGAAUAAAACUUAUCCUUUCCCAGGAGGCAUCAUUCCAUCAAUGUUAUUUAGUCUGUAGGAAUGUUCAUCAUCACUUUGCUGGUAGGAUACAUUCUACUACUUAGAGUCUCAAUUCUGUGUCAUUUUCUGAGGUUUGUCUGAAACAUUUUCACUGUUACUGCAGAUGAAACCUGGAAGAAGGAGUUAGAGGCUGCCUUUUUCUUCAAUUUCUGCCUAGCAGUUCAUGAAUAAAUUACUCACUGACUACAUGUUUAAUUAACCCUUCCACACUUCCUCUGUUCCUUUCUGUUUAGCUCAUUUUUUUCUAGGCUGCAGUGAAUGGGUAUCGCUCUGGGCCAUAUAAAAAUAUUUGGCUGUCCAUUAAUGCCCAAACCACCGAGGCACGUCUUCAGCUUAUUUGUAACACUGGGGAAAGAUCUUUGCUUUUAAAUGAAGCUGACAAAUCAAUGACACAUUCUCAAGGGUACUUUAAAUAUUACUGUUUGAAAGCUAUUAUAUUGCCUCUGGAUUCCACCACUGUUAAUGCAAAAGAACUAGAUGAAUAAAUAGAGCUAAUGAACUAAAGAAACACUUAGUUUAUAAACUUUCCCUUUAGAGACUUAGUUUUGAUUUGGUUGUCCAAAACUUGGGAGGUUGAAAGUCUUAUUUAUUGAUGGUAUUCUCUGCUUAUGUAUAAUAUAUAAUGCAGAGCAGGAAAUCACAUUCAUUUUAAAUACAUCCAGAAAAAUAUACCUGUAAUGUUUCAUUCUUCUGACCAUGGCAAAGAAUGGAAUUUUUUUUUUUCAAACACUGACAAAAUCUGCAUAGUCUUUGAAAACUGUUGACUAAUAUACAACAUACUAAUAUGUGGGAAGAAGAGCCAGAAUGUCUAUGGCAAUCACACAUAUAGUAUACUACUUUUUUUUCCCCAGUGAUAGUGGCUUUUGAAGGUGAGGAAGAUGGUUGAAAGCCAAGACGCUUUUUCACAUGUACAUAGACACACACAGAUCCUCAGCCUUUUCUAGUUCACCCGUGAGGUUCCAUAUUUCCAAGGAAAUACUUCUAAGAGAGCUGUACUUGUUUAUCCUUUCUCUAAUAUUACUGCUGUGAGCUCUUUUUUAAUGCUCACAUUAUCAAAAUGAUGGUAGAGAGAAAUUCUGGCAUAAUUAAAUGGCUUAGAAGAGGCUUUCCCAUUCUUUUUUCGCUUUAUAAUGCUGUUUUUUAUGACUAUUAACUGCAACAGAGAGUAAAAAAACCAGCCUGCAGAAAUCCAGAUCAGACUCAUUCUCUUUCUUCACAGAUGACCAAUGCAGUCAUCACUUUGAAGUUAUGAAAGUGCAAAAUAUAAAACUUGCUUAAAUAUGCUUAUCAGUUUUGAUAAGUUAAUGGCUUUUUCUUAGUAUAAUUGGUCCUUCUGGGAAUGGUAGUUCUCAUAUUUCCUAUUCAUUUAUUCUUGGCAUCUUGGGAACCUCCACUCUUAAUUUCCAGUGAAAUUAACAAUGAUUAGGCUCAGUUGCUGGUUUUAACUGUCCUGUGCAGAAAGUAGCAUCAUUGUUAUGUUAUAGGAGCUAGGAGAUCUGGAUUUAACUUUUAGAUAUGUAACUUGCUUACAUUGUAUCCUCAUUGUACAAAUCUCAUGUGCUUUUACUUGCAUGCCUCUCCAUCACACUUGCCCAGGAGAAACUAGUUCUUGGUUUUGAAUGCAGAGUUUAUCAAGAUUCAUCUAUGUCUUCAAACAAGACCUCUAGUAAUGAUUUCAGUAAGUUCCAGCUGUUAGGUCAUUACAUCCUUUGAAGACAUUUAUCCAAGAAAAGUAUCAAGAGCUGCAUCAAAGCUAUGUCAUGGAAUCAAAAGUGAGUCUGGUCCAUGGCCUAUUUAACAUAUGGUCCCAAAAGCUGUUCUUGAAGAAUGGGCCAUAGUAUUUCACACCAAGAACAAUCCUGUUAAUUAAGACAGAACCUUGAGGAAUAUAGGAGAAAUGGAAAACAUCUUUUCUGCAAGCAGAACUCCAGGCUUGACUAGUCAUGUUAGCUCUAAGAUACAGUAGUGACAGAGAUGUUGUAAGGCAUUUUGAAGCACUGAAACUUUUCAUUUCCCAUUACCUCUAUCCAACCACCACCCCUGUUAUCUUCUGCUUUUCCCACAUCUAUAGACCUCACCUCAUUAUAAAGCUGCUGAAACUGGCAGAGAUCAGAGAUGUCAACCACACUAUAUGUCUCCUUCAGAAAGGCACUGGCAUAUCUUAAACUGCCCAUGCUGCAGCACAGAAGUUAUAUUUGGGAUAACUAGUCCCAGGGAAGUCACUAGGAAUUCUGCUGAAAAAAAAUGUCCUAGGUAUUUUUGAUAAUCCUAUCCUGUAGUAAUGGGAUUUGUUGAUAAUAGAAGAGUAAACAUUAUACCAGUGCUGUAAACUUGAGUAAACUUGAGGGUAAUGAAUCUCUAAUUAAAUAUGGCACUUGUAAAAAGCAGCAUUUUUUUUCUGGUUGAUUUUUUACUUUCUCUUGACUUUUGGAUUUGCUGAUGAAACAAUGUAGAAAUAAAAGAGAAAGUUCUUGAUAAUUUGCCCUGUUAUUUUGUAAUUACACAUUGGGAAACAAAGUGGAAUGUUGCAUCUCAGUGUCCCAAACCCAUGGUGGGGCACAUCUGAGUGACAUGCAAGAAUUGUCCAUAAAAGAUAAUGAG
RNAcentral lists this long non-coding RNA (16339 nucleotides) under Gallus gallus (chicken). RNAcentral describes it as "lncRNA (ENSGALG00010007205.1)". The record is from RNAcentral. Lineage: Eukaryota; Metazoa; Chordata; Aves; Galliformes; Phasianidae.